GACGCAGUGGUCUAAUGGUUAGCGUGUUGGACUCCAGAUCAAACGGUCCGGGUUUGAGCCCUGUGUUGUGUUC
Desmophyllum pertusum is the source of this 73-nucleotide non-coding RNA. Lineage: Eukaryota; Metazoa; Cnidaria; Anthozoa; Scleractinia; Caryophylliidae. The record is from the annotation of a GenBank genome assembly.